RNAcentral lists this ribosomal RNA (1372 nucleotides) under uncultured bacterium. RNAcentral describes it as "bacterial SSU rRNA". It matches the Rfam family "Bacterial small subunit ribosomal RNA", at positions 28 to 1381 of the family's 1533-position model. The record is from RNAcentral.
GAUGAACGCUGGCGGCGUGCCUAAUACAUGCAAGUCGAGCGAACAGACAAGGAGCUUGCUCCUUUGACGUUAGCGGCGGACGGGUGAGUAACACGUGGGUAACCUACCUAUAAGACUGGGAUAACUUCGGGAAACCGGAGCUAAUACCGGAUAAUAUUUCGAACCGCAUGGUUCGAUAGUGAAAGAUGGUUUUGCUAUCACUUAUAGAUGGACCCGCGCCGUAUUAGCUAGUUGGUAAGGUAACGGCUUACCAAGGCGACGAUACGUAGCCGACCUGAGAGGGUGAUCGGCCACACUGGAACUGAGACACGGUCCAGACUCCUACGGGAGGCAGCAGUAGGGAAUCUUCCGCAAUGGGCGAAAGCCUGACGGAGCAACGCCGCGUGAGUGAUGAAGGUCUUCGGAUCGUAAAACUCUGUUAUUAGGGAAGAACAUACGUGUAAGUAACUAUGCACGUCUUGACGGUACCUAAUCAGAAAGCCACGGCUAACUACGUGCCAGCAGCCGCGGUAAUACGUAGGUGGCAAGCGUUAUCCGGAAUUAUUGGGCGUAAAGCGCGCGUAGGCGGUUUUUUAAGUCUGAUGUGAAAGCCCACAGCUCAACCGUGGAGGGUCAUUGGAAACUGGAAAACUUGAGUGCAGAAGAGGAAAGUGGAAUUCCAUGUGUAGCGGUGAAAUGCGCAGAGAUAUGGAGGAACACCAGUGGCGAAGGCGACUUUCUGGUCUGUAACUGACGCUGACGUGCGAAAGCGUGGGGAUCAAACAGGAUUAGAUACCCUGGUAGUCCACGCCGUAAACGAUGAGUGCUAAGUGUUAGGGGGUUUCCGCCCCUUAGUGCUGCAGCUAACGCAUUAAGCACUCCGCCUGGGGAGUACGACCGCAAGGUUGAAACUCAAAGGAAUUGACGGGGACCCGCACAAGCGGUGGAGCAUGUGGUUUAAUUCGAAGCAACGCGAAGAACCUUACCAAAUCUUGACAUCCUUUGACAACUCUAGAGAUAGAGCCUUCCCCUUCGGGGGACAAAGUGACAGGUGGUGCAUGGUUGUCGUCAGCUCGUGUCGUGAGAUGUUGGGUUAAGUCCCGCAACGAGCGCAACCCUUAAGCUUAGCUGCCAUCAUUAAGUUGGGCACUCUAAGUUGACUGCCGGUGACAAACCGGAGGAAGGUGGGGAUGACGUCAAAUCAUCAUGCCCCUUAUGAUUUGGGCUACACACGUGCUACAAUGGACAAUACAAAGGGCAGCGAAACCGCGAGGUCAAGCAAAUCCCAUAAAGUUGUUCUCAGUUCGGAUUGUAGUCUGCAACUCGACUACAUGAAGCUGGAAUCGCUAGUAAUCGUAGAUCAGCAUGCUACGGUGAAUACGUUCCCGGGUCU